UUAAUUGAAACCAAAUAGAGGUGAAUUAUUGUUAAUAAUUUUAUUGAGAUUUUUUUUCCAAUUAAA
This 66-nucleotide transfer RNA is filed under the name Asobara japonica. RNAcentral describes it as "tRNA-Asn". The record is from RNAcentral. Lineage: Eukaryota; Metazoa; Arthropoda; Insecta; Hymenoptera; Braconidae.